Molecule: long non-coding RNA, 323 nt
Filed under: Brassica napus (rape)
Lineage: Eukaryota; Viridiplantae; Streptophyta; Magnoliopsida; Brassicales; Brassicaceae
Description: long non-coding RNA (BNAP_LNC013773)
Source: RNAcentral
UGAGGGGAACAUGAUGAGCUGAAGAGGGCUGUGAUCUCUGGUAGGUGUGGGCAUUUUGGUUAUUUUCUCAGUUUGGUUCGAGUUCGGUUUAAAUUUGUUAGUUCGGUUCUAGUAUUUUCCCAACUGAAGUAAACAAUAGUUAGUUUGGUUCGGUUCGGUUUAUAUUCGGUUCGGUUUGUAUUCGGUUCGGUUUGUUUUUUGGAUUGGUUUAAUUGAGUUCUUUUUAGUUUAAUUUUUUAAGAGAAAUUAUGUUUUAAAAAAUAAAUUAUGUAAACAUAAAUUAUGUAAACUAAAUUCAAUAUAAAACUGAAACAAAAACCUUU